Long non-coding RNA from Maylandia zebra (zebra mbuna), 644 nucleotides. RefSeq lists it as uncharacterized. The record is from RefSeq and is a predicted model, not a curated record. Lineage: Eukaryota; Metazoa; Chordata; Actinopteri; Cichliformes; Cichlidae.
CACUCCUGUAGGUCCUCAACAAAGACACCUGUGUUGUUUCUUGCUGCUCUCCUUUACUGCAAGACUAAAACAAAACAAUACGUGCUGCAGAAACAAUGGAGUUUAUCUAUUCUUCUUUUCAUUCCCCCGUUCUGAUGAACACUGCGGCUGGAUUAUAGCUGCGUAGGGGACAGGCUCUCCCUCCAAUUAAACCUUUGCAUGGAGUGCGGCCGAGCAGGUGUUUCACAGUUCCUGGCAGCUCUGGCGCUCUAUCUUUGGAUGACGAGGUUUGAACAAUGGGAUUGGGAUGAAUAGGUUUGGCUACAUCUAAUGACUCAUUAACACACGUUGUAAACAAUUCCAGAGGAGGAAAAAAAAUAAGCACACACAGAGCGGCAGAUGGGAAGGGCAGCAUGGGCACCAGCAAUUUGUUGCAAUGAGACAAGAGGGAGGAAGUGACUCUUCUUUUUUUGAGUGGAUAUCACAUCCCUGUGCCAGUUUACGAGUGAGUGAUGGUGUCUGGAUGAUGUAUAGGCCAUCCAUUUGUGUUUAUGAAGUCAAAUGUAAGCAAAUGCUACUUGGAUAAAACUCACAGAUGAUGAAGGCCAAGACAACACUGUGUUAUUAUCUUUUAAAGUCCAACUGUCUACUCCGGUAUACAUACG